This 72-nucleotide transfer RNA is filed under the name Camelus bactrianus (Bactrian camel). It matches the Rfam family "tRNA". From Rfam's summary of the family: Transfer RNA (tRNA) molecules are approximately 80 nucleotides in length. Their secondary structure includes four short double-helical elements and three loops (D, anti-codon, and T loops). The record is from Rfam by way of RNAcentral. RNAcentral also lists the same sequence under 2 other names. Lineage: Eukaryota; Metazoa; Chordata; Mammalia; Artiodactyla; Camelidae.
GAGGGUAGAGCUCAGUGGUAGAGUGCAUGCUUAGCAUGCUUGAGGUCCUGAGUUCAAUUCCCAGUACCUCCA